This 2016-nucleotide ribosomal RNA is filed under the name Triticum aestivum (bread wheat). Its description in RNAcentral is "partial small subunit ribosomal RNA". The record is from RNAcentral. Lineage: Eukaryota; Viridiplantae; Streptophyta; Magnoliopsida; Poales; Poaceae.
AUGGAUUUCGACAGGGCCAUGGCAAGCAUGGCAAGGAGUGCAGCCUUCGAUCGGUCGGGAGCCUCUGUGCCGCGCUCGGGCGGAAACCUGUCUAGCGACACCAAAGCCGUCCUCUGCCUUGGGGCAGCCGCUGCUGUGGGCUCGGCAGCGUGGAGGUACUACCAACGCCGUGCGUGCCUGCUGAAGUUCGGCCGGGACAUGACGGCAUCGGCUGGAAAAACCGAUCCGGUGAUCGGCCGCGACGACGAGAUUGACCGUGUCGUCUCCAUCCUCUGCCGCCGGACCAAGAACUGCGUCGCGCUCGUCGGCGCUGCAGGGGUAGGCAAGACGGCCGUCGCCGAGGCCCUCGCCCAACGCAUUGCCGCCAGGAUGGUCCCCGACGUUCUUGCCGGCGCGCGCGUCAUUGAGCUCGACGUCGGAGCAUUGGUGGCUGGGACCAAGUGGCGUGGCUCCUUCGAGAGACGCAUGAAGGAUGUGAUAAAGCAGGUGGAGGCCGCGGACGGCAAGGUGAUUCUGUUCAUCGACGAGAUGCACAUGCUUCUUGGUGCCGGGCGCUCCAGGAAGAGUGCCAACGAUGCUGCCAACAUGCUGAAGCCAGCAUUGGCCCGUGGCCGUAUCCGCUGCGUGGGUGCCACAACUUUCGAUGAGUACCGUAAGUACAUCGAGAAGGAUGCCGCACUGGAGCGGCGGUUCCAAAAGGUGCAGGUCGAGGAGCCGAGCAUGGACACAACCAUUGAGAUUCUGCAGGCGCUAAAGAAGCGGCACGAACGGCACCAUGGCUUGGAAAUCCAGGAUGCAGCUCUUGUUGCUGCUGCACAGCUUGCUGGCCGCUAUAUCACCGGUCGUCAGUUUCCUGACAAGGCAAUUGAUCUAAUUGACGAGGCAUGCGCCACUGCAAGCAAAAAGAUGAGGCAGAUUAACCGCCAAAAGGCGGAAGUGAACACUAAAAAAAGUAGCUCUGCAAAUGCAAGGAAGGAAGCAAUUAUCACCCCAGAUCAUGUCGCACAAGUUGUGAGCCGAUGGACUGGAAUUCCCGUCACCGCACUUAAUCAAGAGGAGAAGGAUAAGUUAAUCUGCCUAGCGGACAGACUGCAUGAGCGAGUUGUUGGCCAGGAUGAAGCCGUCAACCUAGUUGCAGAUGCAGUGUUACGUUCUAGAGCUGGCCUUGAUCAUCCUGGCCAGCCCAUAGGCUCUUUCCUCUUCUUGGGCUCAACUGGUGUUGGAAAGACAGAACUCGCAAAAGCUCUUGCCGAGCAGCUAUUUGAUAGCGAGAAGAUGUUGGUUCGCUUUGACAUGUCUGAAUAUGUCGGGAGUAGUUCUGUGUUGCGUCUCGUUGGAGCACCUCCAAGCUAUCGUGGCCAUGAGGAUGGUGGACAACUGACUGAGAAAGUUAGGAGGAACCCGUACAGUGUCAUCCUUUUUGAUGAGGUGGAGAAGGCAGAUCCCUCGGUGUUCAAUAUUUUUCUUCAAAUCCUUGAUGAUGGCAGGUUGACUGAUGGCAGAGGCCAGACUGUAGAUUUCAAGAAUACCAUCAUCAUCAUGACCUCAAAUCUUGGAUCUGAUUACCUAAUAUCAAAGACGGCUAGAAAAAACACAACCGAAUCUACACGGGAACUUCUCAUGGAACAGGUUUGCAAGCACUUCAAGCCUGAGCUUCUGAACAGACUGAGUGAGAUCGUUAUAUUUGAGCCGCUUUCGCACGACAAACUGAAGGAGAUAAUGAAAAUCCAGAUGAAGAGCAUUAUGGCCAGAGUAGCUACCAAGGGCAUCUCUCUUUCUGUUAGUGAUGCCGCGUUGGACACCAUCUUAUCGGAAUCAUACAACCCAACCUACGGUGCAAGACCCAUAAGAAGGUGGAUGCAAAAGAAUGUGAUGACAACGCUUUCCAAGAUGUUGGUCAAGGGAGAAGCCAGUGAAGGCUCAACAAUCUGCAUUGAAGUUACUGACGACAAGAAGGGUUUGAAGUAUCAAGUGGUGAAGAAGGAGGUGAGCCUAGACCAGCGCGGACUUAGCUAG